RNAcentral lists this ribosomal RNA (811 nucleotides) under uncultured bacterium. RNAcentral's name for it is "bacterial SSU rRNA". It matches the Rfam family "Bacterial small subunit ribosomal RNA", at positions 50 to 875 of the family's 1533-position model. The record is from RNAcentral.
UAGGCAUGCGAGUCGCGCGAGAAGGUAGCAAUACCGGAAAGCGGCGAAAGGGAGAGGAAUAGGUGGGAAUCUGCCCCUGGACCGGGGAUAGCUACGGGAAACUGUAGGUAAUACCCGAUAACGUCGAAAGACCAAAGGUGUGAUUCCGUCUGGGGAUGAGCCCACCUCCUAUUAGCUAGUUGUUAGGGUAAUGGCCUAACAAGGCAUUGAUGGGUAGCUGGUGUGAGAGCACGACCAGCCUCACUGGCACUGAGACACUGGCCAGACACCUACGGGUGGCUGCAGUCGAGAAUCUUCGGCAAUGGACGAAAGUCUGACCGAGCGACGCCGCGUGCGGGAUGAAGGCCUUCGGGUUGUAAACCGCUGUCGUAGGGGAUCAAAUGCAUUUGGGUACUCCCUUUUGCUUGAGAGAUCCUAGGAGGAAGGAGAGGCUAAGCUCGUGCCAGCAGCCGCGGUAAGACGAGCUCUCCAAACGUUAUUCGGUAUUACUGGGCUUAAAGAGUUCGUAGGCGGUCUUGUAGGUGAGGUGUGAAAGCCCUCGGCUUAACCGAGGAAUUGCGCUUCAAACCACAAGGCUUGAGGGAGGUAGGGGUAUGCGGAACAGAUGGUGGAGCGGUGAAAUGCGUUGAUAUCAUCUGGAACACCGGUGGCGAAAGCGGCAUACUGGACCUUUUCUGACGCUGAGGAACGAAAGCUAGGGUAGCGAACGGGAUUAGAUACCCCGGUAGUCCUAGCCGUAAACGAUGAGCACUAGUCUGUAGGGACCCUCAUAUCCUUUCGGACGUAGCGAAAGUGUUAAGUGCUCCGCCUG